This 3335-nucleotide long non-coding RNA is filed under the name Marmota monax (woodchuck). The record is from RNAcentral. Lineage: Eukaryota; Metazoa; Chordata; Mammalia; Rodentia; Sciuridae.
AAAAAUAAUCUUUUUAAUAUAUUGGUGUUUGACAUGCUGAGUACCAUGGCCUACCCACAUUGGCAUAUAACAUUAAGCAGCACAAUCUUGUCUUAUUGAGUUUGGUUAGGACUCAAGAGGAAGCCAUGCUGAGCGGUUUAUACAGACAAAAGUGAAAGCAUUGGCUUCCUAGGUUAAUAAUUUAUCACCAUCUACCACAACAUUACACCUCAGUCUAGUUUUGAUAUUCUUCCUGAAAAACAAUUUAAAAGAAUAUAUUAUGGUGAAGAGAAAAAAGGAAAAUAGCUUUAAAAUUCAUCUAAAUAAUCAGUACAAUGCUAUUUGACUACUAAAUAACCUUAUGUUAUGGUUUGGAGUAAUGUAAUGGUUAAUUCAACUGCCACAGUGUAUCCUGUGAGCUCAAUUAUUGCAAAAUAUGUAAACAAUGUUCAAUAGCCUUCUUAAUGCUCUCAUUUGGAUGAAUGUAUGUUAAUUUUGAUCAGCCCAAAUUCUCUUUAUAAAACACGUGGAAAAUUGCUGGGCUAAAGAUUGUGUUUUGCCGCAGUCUGGCUGGGCACAAAUCACGAGCCACUCAAGAGGAACAAACUUUAUUUCUGAACUCCACCAGCACACUCCACACACGCUCCCCAGGAACUCUCCCGAACGCUACGUGGCUCCUCCUGGAACCACCAACCGGAAAUCCCUCCUCCAGCACUUCCCCAACCAAUGGGAACUCUUCAGGAAUCCCCGCAAGACCUCAAUGGAACUCAACGGGAACUCCGAGAGAACUCAAAAGUCAUCAUCUUAAUGGCUCGCUGGCGUCACCUGUCAACCACUACUUCUGGCAAAAAUGCCGUGGGUCAUCCCGACUCGGCUGUGGCCCUCAACAGUGUUUACUAUCCUGCCAGACAAAGUCAGGUCUGGGUUAAUGAGUGGUCACCUUGUGUGAAUGCACCCGGUAUUCCAGACAUGCUGUAGCCCCUUACAGCUUGCCCAGUGGUCCAUACCUGGAGCGCUGCCUGAGACAGCCUUCUUGCACCCCCAUUGUGUUCCUCCUCCUAAAGGCACCUACAAGUUCCUCCUUCUGGGUACCCUUGUCUGAUUCUUCCUCCAGGUUUGUCCAUAAACCUCUGUGUAAGAAUGCAUUCCAUCUUAAACUGUAACUACCUCUAACUCUCUCCUACUGGAAGUGUUAUUCAACUUGGCUAAAGUUAUGAACUCUAUUUUUCCCAUUCCUUAAGUAUUUCAGGUUUAUAGCUCAAAGAAAGUAAUUGAGAAAUCUUUGGAAAAUAGAAGCCUACUAAUUUCUUAAUUUAUAUAAUCAAUCAGAAAGUGUUUAUGUCUCAUGAACCCACGUCUCACUCAAAUCACCACAAUGGAGAGUUUUAUAGCUCAUUCACCUUUCUGGAGUUAAGUCAGUCCACAGGCCUAGAGUCUUCUGAAUGAAACGGAGAUCUUAUCUCCUUGAGGAAAGACUGUAUUACACGGUCAGAAAUUAAUAGUGCAAAUCUUCCUCUUGCUUGUCUCCAAAGGGGCCUGAGAUGAUUUACCAGGGUGGAUGUGCAUUAGAAGAGAGAAAUUACACUUUGCAGGCUCUAAAUUUAGACUUAUUGUUAGGAAUUUAAAAUGCCAUGGUCUACUAUUCAUAUUUAGCUCCAGAAAUUAUUCUAUAUUCAUUCCCUGAACUGUGGAGCAAGGACCAAGGACCAUUAUUGUAGGAAAGGUAAAGUUGAACUGCUUCCACUUAUCAAAGUUAAUAAACUAAAAACAAUCACCUCCUGGAAGAACUGUAGAGAUGAUGCCUCUGUCAAGGACCUAAAGAACACAGGGGAUGCAUAGGAGAUUGAAACUGCAGAAAAGAACAGUGGAGUAUCAUCAAUUUAAUUGUAUGGUGACUCCAGUUGUGGAUGUUCCUCCAGUUAUAGGUUCUAUCUAGAAGCAAAUUAAAAUAGCCCUUAUUACCAGGCAUGUGGCUAUUAAUCUGGUGCAUAUUCUUGAGCUUUAUGUUUUUAAGAAAUGAUACUAAAAUUGUACUGUCUUCCUCUGGCAGGAUUAGCACAACACUGUCUUAUCUCAAGACCCUCCACCCUCCAGCCCUGUGCAAUAAUGUAGCCCACUGGGAUCUUGAUGCCCACUAGGAUCUUGUUCAUUCUACAGUACAUUCUGCUGAUGCUAUAUAUCGGUGCUCAGAUCUGGUGAGGAUAGAAUACAACAUGUCAUAGGCUCCAUGACUAGUGACAUACCUGAAUACCAGAAACAGGAAAUACAUACCUAAACAUGCAAGGCCCUUCUACCUUGGUAAAAUAACUAGAGGCCCGGUGUCCUGGGGGUACAUUGAGCUAUUUCCUCCAAGGGGAAGGACUCUUUAGAUUUGUGGAGUGUACUUUAUCCUAAUUAAUGAUUAACCUAAGGAUCUGUCCAUAUUGAAUGGAGGCUAGAUAAUAGUAAUAGGUCCAGAGAGUCACACAAGACCUCUGCUGCUGAGGUCUUAUGACCCAGUAGAACCAAAGUGCUUGAAGGGUUUGUGAAUGAUGAGAAUGCUGCACAGAGCAUUUGGCCAGUCCCUCCAGAAUCACAGAGCAAACCUUCAGGAUUGGGAACAAAGCUCUGCCUUCUGCACAGACAGUGAGUUUGUGAUAUCUUCCGCCUCCUGCAGCCCCCUAGUUGAGAAUGUCUAGAAAGUAACCCCUCAACCUAGUCUCCCCUUGGAGGACUGGGAGACAUCUGAACUGCAAUGAAGCUGGGUGAGCAUGGCAGCUUUCUGUUUAAAAGUUGAAGUUAUACUGAUGCUUAAGACUGAGUCCAAACAAACCUGAAGGCAAAUGUGGCACAAAAAGAGAGACUGAGACCUGCAUGCUUCCUUCUGCUUCCACAAGUGCUCUCUCAGCUCAAGCACAUGGCCACACAGGGACUGCCUUAGGAAAAGAAUUGGAACCUGUCUUAUAGAUGAUUCCUAUGAUGUGCUGGCUCACCUGAAAGGAGACAGCCCCAACCCUACAGCCCCACUCUGGGACACCCUUCAGCAGCCCUCUCUUCAGGAACCCUGAAGUACUGUGACAAGGAAGACCCAUCCUGUGGCAGAACUUCAAGCAAGGCCACGGUUAUUCCUUUUUUCUAGAAGGAGAGAUUAUCAGAGGUACUCACCCUUAGUAACUCAUAAGUAGUGACCGUUGAUUAGCUACGUGCAACUUCAGAGGAACAGAUUUGGGAAACCUGUGACCAAGGAGUCAGCGAAAGAGGUGUGGGGCUGGCCUUCUCUGCAUGGUCACAGCAUGAGGAGGUUUUUGUCCCAUUAUUAAUGUAAUGGCUAGAAUGCUGGCGGACUGGCUGCAGUGUGAAAAGGGGUUUAAAUCAGC